Molecule: ribosomal RNA, 483 nt
Filed under: uncultured bacterium
Lineage: Bacteria
Description: partial 16S ribosomal RNA
Rfam family: Bacterial small subunit ribosomal RNA
Source: RNAcentral
AUUGAACGCUGGCGGCAUGCCUUACACAUGCAAGUCGAACGGCAGCGCGGACUUCGGUCUGGCGGCGAGUGGCGAACGGGUGAGUAAUACAUCGGAACGUACCCUGUUGUGGGGGAUAACUAGUCGAAAGAUUAGCUAAUACCGCAUACGACCUGAGGGUGAAAGUGGGGGACCGCAAGGCCUCACGCAGCAGGAGCGGCCGAUGUCUGAUUAGCUAGUUGGUGGGGUAAAGGCCCACCAAGGCGACGAUCAGUAGCUAGUCUGAGAGGCGAUCAGCCACACUGGGACUGAGACACGGCCCAGACUCCUACGGGAGGCAGCAGUGGGGAAUUUUGGACAAUGGGGGCAACCCUGAUCCAGCAAUGCCGCGUGUGUGAAGAAGGCCUUCGGGUUGUAAAGCACUUUUGUCCGGAAAGAAAUCGCGCUGGUUAAUACCUGGCGUGGAUGACGGUACCGGAAGAAUAAGCACCGGCUAACUACGUG